RNAcentral lists this ribosomal RNA (497 nucleotides) under uncultured bacterium. RNAcentral's name for it is "partial 16S ribosomal RNA". It matches the Rfam family "Bacterial small subunit ribosomal RNA", at positions 28 to 507 of the family's 1533-position model. The record is from RNAcentral.
GAUGAACGCUGGCGGCGUGCCUAAUACAUGCAAGUCGAGCGAACAGACGAGGAGCUUGCUCCUCUGACGUUAGCGGCGGACGGGUGAGUAACACGUGGAUAACCUACCUAUAAGACUGGGAUAACUUCGGGAAACCGGAGCUAAUACCGGAUAAUAUAUUGAACCGCAUGGUUCAAUAGUGAAGGACGGUUUUGCUGUCACUUAUAGAUGGAUCCGCGCCGCAUUAGCUAGUUGGUAAGGUGACGGCUUACCAAGGCAACGAUGCGUAGCCGACCUGAGAGGGUGAUCGGCCACACUGGAACUGAGACACGGUCCAGACUCCUACGGGAGGCAGCAGUAGGGAAUCUUCCGCAAUGGGCGAAAGCCUGACGGAGCAACGCCGCGUGAGUGAUGAAGGUCUUCGGAUCGUAAAACUCUGUUAUUAGGGAAGAACAAAUGUGUAAGUAACUAUGCACGUCUUGACGGUACCUAAUCAGAAAGCCACGGCUAACUACGUG